UACGUAUGGUGCAAGCGUUAUCCGGAUUUACUGGGUGUAAAGGGAGCGCAGGCGGCACGGCAAGCCUGAUGUGAAAGCCCGCGGCCCAACCGCGGGACUGCAUUGGGAACUACCGGGCUGGAGUGCCGGAGAGGUAGGCGGUAUUCCUAGUGUAGCGGUGAAAUGCGUAGAUAUUAGGAGGAACACCAGUGGCGAAGGCGGCCUACUGGACGGUGACUGACGCUGAGGCUCGAAAGCGUGGGGAGCAAACAGG
RNAcentral lists this ribosomal RNA (253 nucleotides) under uncultured bacterium. RNAcentral describes it as "partial 16S ribosomal RNA". It matches the Rfam family "Bacterial small subunit ribosomal RNA", at positions 524 to 776 of the family's 1533-position model. The record is from RNAcentral.